AUCUAGCUGAUGAGUUCCAAAUAGGAUGAAACGCGCUUCCUGGAU
RNAcentral lists this non-coding RNA (45 nucleotides) under Schistosoma mansoni. The record is from RNAcentral. Lineage: Eukaryota; Metazoa; Platyhelminthes; Trematoda; Strigeidida; Schistosomatidae.